RNAcentral lists this ribosomal RNA (434 nucleotides) under uncultured bacterium. RNAcentral describes it as "partial 16S ribosomal RNA". It matches the Rfam family "Bacterial small subunit ribosomal RNA", at positions 29 to 507 of the family's 1533-position model. The record is from RNAcentral.
AGCGAACGCUGGCGGCAGGCCUAACACAUGCAAGUCGAACGAACCUUUCGGGGUUAGUGGCGGACGGGUGAGUAACACGUGGGAACGUGCCUUUAGGUUCGGAAUAACUCAGGGAAACUGUGGCUAAUACCGAUUUGGCCCUUCGGGGGAAAGAUUUAUCGCCUUUAGAGCGGCCCGCGUCUGAUUAGCUAGUUGGUUGAGGUAAUGGCUCACCAAGGCGACGAUCAGUAGCUGGUCUGAGAGGAUGAUCAGCCACAUUGGGACUGAGACACGGCCCAAACUCCUACGGGAGGCAGCAGUGGGGAAUCUUGCGCAAUGGGCGAAAGCCUGACGCAGCCAUGCCGCGUGAAUGAUGAAGGUCUUAGGAUUGUAAAAUUCUUUCACCGGGGACGAUAAUGACGGUACCCGGAGAAGAAGCCCCGGCUAACUUCGUG